UCGAGAAUAGUCUACAAUGGUCGAAAGACUGAUAGUGCGACGCCGCGUGAACGAAGACUCCUUUCGGGGUGUAAAGUUCUUUUAUAUGUGAGCAGUGGAUGUUACAUUAAUAGUGUGAUAUCAGGGAUAUUAGCAUAUGAAUAAGCAACGGCUAACUCCGUGCCAGCAGCCGCGGUAACACGGGGGUUGCGAGCGUUGUCCGGAAUUACUAGGCGUAAAGGGCAGGUAGGCGGAGAUGUAAGUUUGAUGUUAAAGGUACUGGCUCACCCAGUGUACGGCAUCAGAUACUGCAUUUCUUGAAUACGGUUGGGGAAGACAGAAUUCCUGGUGUAGCGGUGGAAUGCGCAGAGAUCAGGAGGAAUACCGAAGGCGAAGGCAGUCUUCUAAGCCGGUUAUUGACGCUAAACUGCGAAGGUGUGGGUAUCAAACAGG
Molecule: ribosomal RNA, 432 nt
Filed under: uncultured bacterium
Lineage: Bacteria
Description: bacterial SSU rRNA
Rfam family: Bacterial small subunit ribosomal RNA
Source: RNAcentral